This is a long non-coding RNA of Herpailurus yagouaroundi (jaguarundi), 477 nucleotides long. RefSeq lists it as uncharacterized. NCBI's taxonomy places the organism in Eukaryota, Metazoa, Chordata, Mammalia, Carnivora, Felidae. The record is from RefSeq and is a predicted model, not a curated record. The transcript has 2 exons.
CCGGCGUCCCAGAAAAGAAGGAGCCACCAGACAGGGACUCUAGACUCGUAAAAAAAAUAUAUCUCAUUUCUAAAAACCCUGAGCACCUACUAAGUGUCUAGCAGGCCCGAGGCAAGCGCUACAAAGAUAGGACUAAUCCCCACACAGCCCCUGCCCUCCGAGAGCUCUGGUUUAGCUAGGAAGAUAGACAAACAUUCAAGUGACUCAUCCCGGGGAUGAUGAGUUAAAGGCAUGGAAGCAAACUCAAAUAGACGCGCAUUGUAUUUCCACUGUUGUAAGCAAGUGGGCCACACGUUAGUUUCUGGAGACCGGCCAUGGGAUCGAGAGUCGCAUUCACUGCGUGGCACAUCAGAGGAAGACUGCAUCUGACAAGAUUUGCUCACAUACCUGCUCCUAAGACCCCAUCCUUUACUGUAAUAUCUUGUCAUCUUCCUGGGAAAACAGAGUAACAAGAAUUAAAAAUACCACCACAUUCCC